GUGCUCACUUCGGCAGCACAUACACUAAAACUGGAAUGAUACAGAGAUUAGCAUGGCCUCUGCACAAGGAUGACACAAAAUUCAUGAAGCGUUCCAUAUUUUU
Molecule: small nuclear RNA, 103 nt
Filed under: Myotis brandtii (Brandt's bat)
Lineage: Eukaryota; Metazoa; Chordata; Mammalia; Chiroptera; Vespertilionidae
Source: RNAcentral